GACGAACGCUGGCGGCGUGCCUAAUACAUGCAAGUUGAGCGAUGAAGAUUGGUGCUUGCACCAAUUUGAAGAGCAGCGAACGGGUGAGUAACGCGUGGGGAAUCUGCCUUUGAGCGGGGGACAACAUUUGGAAACGAAUGCUAAUACCGCAUAACAACUUUAAACAUAAGUUUUAAGUUUGAAAGAUGCAAUUGCAUCACUCAAAGAUGAUCCCGCGUUGUAUUAGCUAGUUGGUGAGGUAAAGGCUCACCAAGGCGAUGAUACAUAGCCGACCUGAGAGGGUGAUCGGCCACAUUGGGACUGGGACACGGCCCAAACCCCUACGGGAGGCAGCAGUAGGGAAUCUUCGGCAAUGGACGAAAGUCUGACCGAGCAACGCCGCGUGAGUGAAGAAGGUUUUCGGAUCGUAAAACUCUGUUGGUAGAGAAGAACGUUGGUGAGAGUGGAAAGCUCAUCAAGUGACGGUAACUACCCAGAAAGGGACGGCUAACUACGUG
This 497-nucleotide ribosomal RNA is filed under the name uncultured bacterium. RNAcentral describes it as "partial 16S ribosomal RNA". It matches the Rfam family "Bacterial small subunit ribosomal RNA", at positions 28 to 507 of the family's 1533-position model. The record is from RNAcentral.